GUGCCCACUUCAUCAGCACAUAUACUAAAAUUGGAACCAUAUAGAGAUGAACAUGGCUGCUAUGCAAGAAUGACAGUGCAAGUUUGUGAAGCGUUCCAUAUAUUU
This is a small nuclear RNA of Nomascus leucogenys (northern white-cheeked gibbon), 105 nucleotides long. NCBI's taxonomy places the organism in Eukaryota, Metazoa, Chordata, Mammalia, Primates, Hylobatidae. The record is from Ensembl.